AUUGAACGCUGGCGGCAGGCCUAACACAUGCAAGUCGAGCGGUUGAGGUAGCGUGCUACCGAUGCAGCGGCGAACGGGUGAGUAACACAUGGGAAUCUGCCUGGUAGUGGGGGACAACGUCUCGAAAGGGACGCUAAUACCGCAUACGCCCUACGGGGGAAAGGGGGGGAUCUUCGGACCUCUCGCUAUCAGAUGAGCCCAUGUCAGAUUAGCUAGUUGGUGGGGUAAAGGCUCACCAAGGCGACGAUCUGUAACUGGUCUGAGAGGAUGAUCAGUCACACUGGAACUGGGACACGGUCCAGACUCCUACGGGAGGCAGCAGUGGGGAAUAUUGGACAAUGGGCGCAAGCCUGAUCCAGCCAUGCCGCGUGUGUGAAGAAGGCCUUAGGGUUGUAAAGCACUUUCAGUGGGGAGAAAGGUUAUUCACCUAAUACGUGAGUAAAUUGAUGUUACCCACAGAAGAAGCACCGGCUAACUCCGUGCCAGCCGCCGCGGUAA
Molecule: ribosomal RNA, 498 nt
Filed under: uncultured bacterium
Lineage: Bacteria
Description: partial 16S ribosomal RNA
Rfam family: Bacterial small subunit ribosomal RNA
Source: RNAcentral